UACGAAGGGGGCUAGCGUUGUUCGGAAUUACUGGGCGUAAAGCGCACGUAGGCGGAUAUUUAAGUCAGGGGUGAAAUCCCAGAGCUCAACUCUGGAACUGCCUUUGAUACUGGGUAUCUUGAGUAUGGAAGAGGUAGGUGGAAUUGCGAGUGUAGAGGUGAAAUUCGUAGAUAUUCGCAGGAACACCAGUGGCGAAGGCGGCUUACUGGUCCAUAACUGACGCUGAGGUGCGAAAGCGUGGGGAGCAACAGGG
This 253-nucleotide ribosomal RNA is filed under the name uncultured bacterium. Its description in RNAcentral is "partial 16S ribosomal RNA". It matches the Rfam family "Bacterial small subunit ribosomal RNA", at positions 524 to 776 of the family's 1533-position model. The record is from RNAcentral.